This 81-nucleotide transfer RNA is filed under the name Blastomyces dermatitidis ATCC 18188. RNAcentral describes it as "tRNA-Leu (AAG) (tRNA-Leu-AAG-10-1)". Lineage: Eukaryota; Fungi; Ascomycota; Eurotiomycetes; Onygenales; Ajellomycetaceae. RNAcentral also lists the same sequence under 1 other name. The record is from RNAcentral.
GUCAGCGUGGCUCAGUUGAUAAGACUGGUAAUCAAGGCUGUAUAUAUUAGAGAUGUGUGAGUUCAAAUCUCACUGCUGAUA